UGGGGAAUUUUGCACAAUGGGGGAAACCCUGAUGCAGCGACGCCGCGUGAUUUAGAAGGCCUUCGGGUUGUAAAAAUCUUUUUUAUGGGAUGAAAAUGACAGUACCAUAAGAAUAAGGUCCGGCUAAAUACGUGCCAGCAGCCGCGGUAAUACGUAUGGACCGAGCGUUGUCCGGAAUCAUUGGGCGUAAAGGGUACGUAGGCGGCCCAGUAAGUUAGAAGUGAAAAAAUAUAGCUAAACUAUAUAAAGCUUUUAAAACUGCUAGGCUUGAGGGAUGGAAGGGAAAGUGGAAUUCCUAGUGUUGCGAGGAAAUGCGUAGAUAUUAGGAAGAAUACCCGUGGCGAAGGCGACUUUCUGGUCAUCAUCUGACGCUGAGGUACGAAAGCGUGGGUAGCAAACAGG
RNAcentral lists this ribosomal RNA (402 nucleotides) under Verrucomicrobiota bacterium. Its description in RNAcentral is "Verrucomicrobia bacterium partial 16S ribosomal RNA". It matches the Rfam family "Bacterial small subunit ribosomal RNA", at positions 355 to 776 of the family's 1533-position model. The record is from RNAcentral. Lineage: Bacteria; Pseudomonadati; Verrucomicrobiota.